UAAGGAAUAUUGGACAAUGGUCGCAAGACUGAUCCAGCCAUGCCGCGUGCAGGAAGACGGCCCUAUGGGUUGUAAACUGCUUUUGUACCAGAGAAAACCUAUCUACGUGUAGAUAGCUGAUAGUAUGGUAAGGAUAAGCAUCGGCUAACUUCGUGCCAGCAGCCGCGGUAAGACGAAGGAUGCAAGCGUUAUCCGGAUUCAUUGGGUUUAAAGGGUGCGUAGGCGGGCUUGUAAGUCAGUGGUGAAAUCUCUCAGCUUAACUGAGAAACUGCCAUUGAUACUGCAGGCCUAGAGUAUAGAUGACGUUGGCGGAAUAUGACAUGUAGUGGUGAAAUACUUAGAUAUGUCAUAGAACACCGAUUGCGAAGGCAGCUAACGAAACUAUAACUGACGCUGAGGCACGAAAGUGCGGGGAUCAAACA
Molecule: ribosomal RNA, 422 nt
Filed under: uncultured bacterium
Lineage: Bacteria
Description: bacterial SSU rRNA
Rfam family: Bacterial small subunit ribosomal RNA
Source: RNAcentral